UGAAUUCCUCUCACUGCUUGGAGCCUUAGGUAGUGGGAUUUUAGUCCAUCAUAUACGUAAACAGAUGUCUUCACUCAGGGCACCAAGGGGAUGGGUUGGCUGUCCAUUAGUAUCUUCUGAUUUUUGCGGAGUCAGUUACAA
Suricata suricatta (meerkat) is the source of this 141-nucleotide small nucleolar RNA. The record is from Ensembl. NCBI's taxonomy places the organism in Eukaryota, Metazoa, Chordata, Mammalia, Carnivora, Herpestidae.